UACCGCGAAGUAAAUUUCACAUU
Molecule: non-coding RNA, 23 nt
Filed under: Arabidopsis thaliana (thale cress)
Lineage: Eukaryota; Viridiplantae; Streptophyta; Magnoliopsida; Brassicales; Brassicaceae
Source: RNAcentral